AAUGUAUGACGCUGUUGACUUUUUGUUUAACGUUUGAUCAUUCGUUUUAUUUAAAAAAAUUAUGCAAUUAUUAUUUCUUUUAUUGUGACUUGAUUCAUCAUCAAAUGUUCUUUAAGCAUGACAUAAAUAUUUUCAUAUUUGCACAAAAAAUUUAAAUAAAACGAAUGAUCAAACGUUGGUCAAAAUACGGAGGG
This 194-nucleotide microRNA precursor is filed under the name Oryza glumipatula. Its description in RNAcentral is "MIR812 microRNA precursor family". It matches the Rfam family "MIR812 microRNA precursor family". Lineage: Eukaryota; Viridiplantae; Streptophyta; Magnoliopsida; Poales; Poaceae. The record is from Rfam by way of RNAcentral.